Molecule: long non-coding RNA, 303 nt
Organism: Mastomys coucha (southern multimammate mouse)
Lineage: Eukaryota; Metazoa; Chordata; Mammalia; Rodentia; Muridae
Exons: 3
Source: RefSeq, a predicted model, not a curated record
GUGCUUUCCUUGCAAGCAUGAGGCCUUGUGUUUGAUCCCCACAAACCAUGCCAGAAAGCAUCAGAGAAGUAAAGAUUAUAGUUUUAGGACACCAAGAGAGGUGAGGCGAGGCUCUGAGCCAGGCUGGAGGUGGAUGGUUCCCAUGGAUGUGGAGGAGUACAGUGAAGAAGCCAUUAUGAAGGCAGAAAAGGCACUUGAGUGGGAUCUUUCCAGACCCUGGCAGACUUCGUUCCUUUGAUCCUGGCAGACAUACUUCCAUUGUCUCAGCCAAGAAGCAGGUCCUGGAGCACAUCUGGUCACAUU